ACGAUGAACUGGGUGCUUGCACCUGGGGAUUAGUGGCGAACGGGUGAGUAACACGUGAGUAACCUGCCCUGGACUCUGGGAUAACCCCGAGAAAUCGGAGCUAAUACCGGAUAGGACCUUGCACCGCAUGGUGUGGGGUGGAAAGUUUUUUCGGUCUGGGAUGGACUCGCGGCCUAUCAGCUUGUUGGUGAGGUAAUGGCUCACCAAGGCGUCGACGGGUAGCCGGCCUGAGAGGGUGACCGGCCACACUGGGACUGAGACACGGCCCAGACUCCUACGGGAGGCAGCAGUGGGGAAUAUUGCACAAUGGGCGCAAGCCUGAUGCAGCAACGCCGCGUGCGGGAUGACGGCCUUCGGGUUGUAAACCGCUUUUAGUAAGGAAGAAGGGGCUUCGGCCUUGACGGUACUUGCAGAAAAAGGACCGGCUAACUACGUGCCAGCAGCCGCGGUAAUACGUAGGGUCCGAGCGUUGUCCGGAAUUAUUGGGCGUAAAGAGCUCGUAGGCGGUUUGUCGCGUCUGCUGUGAAAUCCCGAGGCUCAACCUCGGGUCUGCAGUGGGUACGGGCAGACUGGAGUGCGGUAGGGGAGAAUGGAAUUCCUGGUGUAGCGGUGGAAUGCGCAGAUAUCAGGAGGAACACCGAUGGCGAAGGCAGUUCUCUGGGCCGUAACUGACGCUGAGGAGCGAAAGCGUGGGGAGCGAACAGGAUUAGAUACCCUGGUAGUCCACGCCGUAAACGUUGGGCGCUAGAUGUGGGGACCUUUCCACGGUUUCCGUGUCGUAGCUAACGC
RNAcentral lists this ribosomal RNA (789 nucleotides) under bacterium. RNAcentral's name for it is "bacterial SSU rRNA". It matches the Rfam family "Bacterial small subunit ribosomal RNA", at positions 66 to 858 of the family's 1533-position model. The record is from RNAcentral.